UCAGCCAACGGGCCUAUCAAGAGUCACGA
Molecule: non-coding RNA, 29 nt
Filed under: Mus musculus (house mouse)
Lineage: Eukaryota; Metazoa; Chordata; Mammalia; Rodentia; Muridae
Source: RNAcentral